This is a long non-coding RNA of Amaranthus tricolor (Joseph's coat), 1417 nucleotides long. RefSeq lists it as uncharacterized. Lineage: Eukaryota; Viridiplantae; Streptophyta; Magnoliopsida; Caryophyllales; Amaranthaceae. The record is from RefSeq and is a predicted model, not a curated record. The transcript has 2 exons.
AACUCCUCAUUUCUUCACUUCCUCUCCCUUUCCAUCAGUAUAAAUCCAGUAAAAGCGCUAACCCACUAAAACAAUGGAUGCACAACCCAAACUAUUUUCUGCCUUUCUGUAAUUCAUAUUCAAAUGAGUUUCUUGGGUUUUAGUGAUUAUAUAUUAUAUUAACUAAGAGAAAUCCCGAUUCAACCUAAGAUCAAGGUAGAAAAAUGAUGGUGCUGGAGCGUCUACGAGGAGAAGCAUUGCAGGAGUUGAUCACUCGGCGUUUCAGGUAUUUAAGACUUUCUCUUCAAUAAAUUAAACAUUUAUUGCAAUUGGGGGGUUUUAAUUUAGGGGUUUUCGGGUUUAAUUUUGAUUUACGUGGGUUCUUUUAAUUUGGGGUUUUUUCUCUUUUCAAUUUUACAUCUGGAAAGUUCCUGGAUUUCUAUGUGAUUGGAUUUCUUGCUUCUAGAGUUUAAUAUUGUUCUUAUUGAUGUGUUUAUCCUUCUAUUUUAAUUAAUCAAUGAUGCUAACAUGGGUUUUGGAUUAUUUAAUCAAUUCAAAAUGAUAGGAUGUACUAUGCUGAGUUUCAAUAACGUGGAAGAAAAAAAAUAGAAAAAGAGGAUGAAGUAUAGUGGAGUAUAAUUUUCGAUUUCAAUGUACUCCUUUGAUUUCUAUUUGACCCUUUCUAGUUACUGCACUUGUUGAAUCUGUCCUAAAAUUUUCAUUUGCUUCACCUUCCUCACAAGGGUUUGAUUGCUUGUGUAAGAGUUGACAUUAGCCAACCAAAUAAAUACUCUCCAUUUUAUAAUUUUUGCAAUAUUUUUCAUUUUAGGAUGUAUCAUAAAAAAUCAAUUUUAACCAUUCAUUUCACUUUUUUCUUUCUCUCUCCUAAUAUAAACCAUUCAUUGUACUAUCAUGAAAGGAGUGAUUGUAUACCUCAUUCAGAGCACCAACAUUGUUGAGAACUACUCUCCUUUUAGAGCACCAUCAUUCAUGAGGAUAUAUAUAUCCUUUCCCAUUUUCUCUCUCCUUUCCUACACUUGACACAUCAUUUUCUCUUUCCUCCACAUCACUUCCCACUAUCUCCAUCCUUUUACUUAUCCUUUCCCUCAAAAUUCCCCAACAUCCAUGAGUAUCCUUUCCCACUUUCUCUCUCCUACUUACAUAUACCCCACCAUUUAUUCCCUUUUCAAAUUAUAUAUAUAUUUUUUUUGAGGGGAAUUAAUAAACUUAAUUAUUAUUAUUAUUGGUGUACAUGUUGUUAAUAAUAAUUAAUAUGUAGAUCAUUCUAUUAAUUAGACACAUUAAUUAAACGAGACGAAUUCUAAAACAUAAAAUUCAUUGAUUAACAACAUGAAAUACAAAGAUUAAACGACACGAAUAAAAAAAACAUGACUUACGUUGAUUAAAAUAACACGCAAAGAAAAAAUAACAAACAUAA